ACUACCGAUUGAAUGGUUUAGUGAGGACUCCUGAUUGGCGCCGCCGCCCCGGCAACGGAGCAGUGGACUGCCGAAAAGUUGUUCAAACUUGAUCAUUUAGAGGAAGUAAAGGUCGUAACAAGGUUUCCGUAGGUGAACCUGCGGAAGGAUCAUUACCGAUCGAGUUCUUCUUGGAACACCGCGAACCGUAUGGACAGUUGGGGGUCGCCCCGUCGAGGGCGUCAAACGUCGGGAGCGCCUUGGCCGAUCGGCCGGGGUUGAUUCUCGCGGCCCCCACGUUUAAUUUUUUUCACAAACACCCCUUUUACAGUCAAAGGACCGAGAACGGUCGACCAAUCAAAAAAGUUCAUAACUUUUAACGGUGGAUCUCUUGGCUCGUGCAUCGAUGAAGAACGCAGCCAGGUGCGAUAAGUAGUGUGAAUUGCAGAAUUCAGUGAAUCAUCGAAUCUUUGAACGCAAAUGGCGCUCUUGGGUUUUCCCAGGAGCACGUCUGUCUGAGUGUCGGUUUCCAAACCAAUGCGCACGCCCGCGUGCGGUGUUGAGGCGUCGCGGCACCCCUUCUUCGGAAGGCGGGCCUCGUCCCUUGAAAUGCAGCACGACCGAGGGGGUCGGCCGCUGCCGACGCCACUUUCGGGAAGGCCAAAAGCUCCUUUGCCCUUUCCCGAGGCGCCGGCCGGUCGACGGCCCCGUGCGGUCCUCGGCCCUUCUUAACUCUUGACCUCAGAUCAGGCGAGACUACCCGCUGAAUUUAAGCAUAUUAAUAAGCGGAGGAAAAGAAACUAACAAGGAUUCCCCUAGUAAUGGCGAAUGAAGCGGGAACAGCUCAAAUUUGAAAUCUCCGUCGCUUGCGACGGCGAAUUGUAGUUUCGAGAAGCACUUUCUAGGCGGGUCCGGGGCCGUCCAAGUUGCUUGGAACAGCACGUCAUAGAGGGUGACAACCCCGUCUGUGGCGGAACCGGGGCCGCUGACGAUGCGCUUUCGAC
This 983-nucleotide ribosomal RNA is filed under the name Condylactis sp. TWCond. RNAcentral's name for it is "eukaryotic LSU rRNA". The stretch from base 716 to 983 matches the Rfam family "Eukaryotic large subunit ribosomal RNA", at positions 1 to 261 of the family's 3401-position model. The record is from RNAcentral. Lineage: Eukaryota; Metazoa; Cnidaria; Anthozoa; Actiniaria; Actiniidae.